GACGAAGGGGGCUAGCGUUGUUCGGAAUUACUGGGCGUAAAGCGUGUGUAGGUGGUUGUCAUAGUCAGGUGUGAAAGCCUUGAGCUCAACUCAAGAAAUGCACUUGAUACUGGGCAGCUAGAGGACCGGAGAGGAUAGUGGAAUUCCCAGUGUAGUGGUGAAAUACGUAGAGAUUGGGAAGAACACCAGUGGCGAAGGCGGCUGCCUGGCCUGUAACUGACGCUGAGACGCGAAAGCGUGGGGAGCGAACCGG
This 253-nucleotide ribosomal RNA is filed under the name uncultured bacterium. RNAcentral's name for it is "partial 16S ribosomal RNA". It matches the Rfam family "Bacterial small subunit ribosomal RNA", at positions 524 to 776 of the family's 1533-position model. The record is from RNAcentral.